RNAcentral lists this unclassified non-coding RNA (4458 nucleotides) under Homalodisca vitripennis (glassy-winged sharpshooter). Its description in RNAcentral is "g protein pathway suppressor 2-like, transcript variant X1". Lineage: Eukaryota; Metazoa; Arthropoda; Insecta; Hemiptera; Cicadellidae. The record is from RNAcentral.
UUUUAUGCUAAUGUGAGUUUUGUGCUUCUAAAAAAAGAUAUAGGUAUAAUAUAACCUCAUUUAGGCAAUUAAACUUAUUUGGGAUUUAUUUAUAUGCAGUCGUUAGUGUGUCGAUGUCUUUAUUAAAGGUUUGCUAACUACCUAAAAUCUAUUAUGGAUAAAUAAAAAAAAUGACAUUUCUCGAUCUUAACUGUUGAUUAGAGUUGUAGAGUGGUGUCUACAAACAGACAUAAUGCCAGCUGUCGUGGUUGUAGACAGACCUCCCCAGAGGAGUGAAGCCAUGUGGUUGGCUCUCAAGGCACACAUAAUCAGGGAACGACAAAAGAAAAAACAAGAACAAGAAGCAGAUGCUGAGGUGGAACGACAACGUAAAGAGAGGGAACGUCAACAGAAGCAAGACAAAAUGACUCUGGGAGAGACUCGGGAACAGAUUUCUCAGUUGGAGCAGAGACUGCAACAGCUGAAGGAAGAGAAACAUCAGCUGUUUCUGCAGCUCAAGAAAGUAUUGAAUGAAGAUGAUAACAGGAGAAGGCAGCUUGUUAAGGAAUCCAACGAUGUCAUGGAGAUGUACGGCUACCCAGGAGUGGCCUUGGGAAAUCCACAGCUGUUCCUUCAACAGAAUAUUCCCCUGACCAACCGCAACCCCCUUUACAAAGUGCCACCCUCGCACACUCUACUGCAAGCGGGAACACUGAAGAGAAGAAGAAGUCCUUCUCCUGCCAACUACCCACAAUACGGCACAUACAAGCCAGCCACCAGCCAGGCCACAUACCAGAAAGUGGAGGACAGAAGCAGAGGUCAUGAGUACGUGCGUGCGGUUUUGUGGAAUAAGCCCUACGGUUUGACCGAGAGUAGUCAGUAUGGACCAUUCUACACAACCUCCACGACCAUGAGUUACUCUGCAGCCCCCGCUCCUACCCAGGCACAGACUGUGUACACGUAUGGCGGACCGCAGUUUCAGGCCUCGUCUAGCAGUUCGGCUGCCCCGCCUCCGGCCACAGAGACCACCAACCCCACACCCAAACACCACUACAUGGCUCAACAACGGCCCCACAACCCAUCUUAUCUUCAUGUGACGAUUGAUGCUAAACAACCUUUUCCGGAGGAGAACUUCUACUCCCCCGCUCAGAUCCGGCCGGCUACUCAUGUACCGUUGCAUGGCGGAGCAAUUCCAAUACAGCAACCUCCUCAGGGAGCCAAAACUGGAGGGAUAACUUCAGGCUAUCCGAUCCGACCUCCAGCCUCCGCACCGACUGCUACCACUCCACAUAGUGUGUACGUGAGCCAGCCGUCGAGUGGCAGUCGGCUGGUGUACAGCCAGUCGGUUACAACACAGCCAGCCGGUUUAUCGAACAUCCGGUACAGUGUCCCACCCAUGCAGAGGGAGGCAUAGACCAGGGAGCGUUCCGUAGUUUACCUGUGCACAUUAAAAACGUCAGCUGUUUCUCAGAAAUAAAUAUGACGAAACUCAUUCAUACUAUUACUCCCAGUUCACCCCUUCAUUGGUUAGUAUCGGUGUAAGAAAAUCGUAGUUCUUAGUGUUUAACGUAGAUUCCGUCAAUAUGGUCAUCUAGGACUUUCCUUGCAGCAUAGAAACUACACACAGACCAAUACCGCCCUGGAAAUAUAUCGAAGUAAUCAAUGUGGAGCAAUUAUCUGCAAUGAUAAAUUAGAUGCUGGUAUUACGGACAACAGCGUUGUUGAAUAAAAGAAACAUGACUUUUCAGGACUGAAACGUAAACUCUUCAACAAACGGCGAUAAACACAUGAAAGUCAAAGUUAAGUUCAAAAAGCUUCUUUGAAAAAAACGCCUGAACUCAGCAUCACGUUAAAAGCACAAACGAAUAAUCAUUACACAACACAGAUGCACCAGUGAAAUACGUGCUGCAUGCAUCACAGGAAAGUCUGUGACGAGGAAGUCACUUGUAGUCAUGGGAGCCUGAUUAGCGAUUGCGACAUACUAUGGUAUUGAAGGGGGGGGGGAGGGGAGUAAAAAAUACAGCCCAUUGUUUACUCAUCUCUCCAUAUACCUUAAUGUCAUUAUGUGCACCUAUAUUAUUUUGAAUGAGGUUUCUUUAACUUUAUUGUUUUAUUGUUUGUUUUAAUGUCCUACUUAAUCCUUUUUCUUAUUAUAGGUCAAGUAUUGGGCUUGACUUCAACAGAUCGACAUUGUGAUUGGUCUGCUAGUUGUAUGUAUGAAGGGUGAAUUUUUUUGUAUAACAAUGUUUACUUCUUGAUGUUCUCAUCCCACUUCAUGUAAUGAUUUUUAAACUAGUAAUGUUUUAAUUUAUAAUAAAUAAUUGACGUAAAAAAAUAGAUGGUAGUGGCAAACAAAUGUAUAAAAUUUUGUUCUUCUAUUGUGUCAAUAACUUUUCUGAAUUUCAAAAUGAAAUGAGAACAAAAUUUAAUUAUGAUAAUGUAAGCAAGAAAAUAGUAUUGUAGGAAUUAAUUAUUUUUUUACUAUUUUAAAAUAUUUAGGUUGUGAAAUUUUAUUUUACAGCUAAAAAUCCUGUAGUGGCAGGCUAUUUUUGGUCAGUUUAUGAGCACUUAUUCUAAAUUAUCCCUACACUUCAAAUACUGUUUUUAUCUUUAUAUUAAUAGUAGUUUUUUUAUGUAAUAUCUGUAGAAUUAUAAAACAUACUAAUAAAUAUAAUUUGUUGAUAUACAUAUUUUUCACAUUAGAUGAAACUUGAAAUUAAAGAAAUAAAUUUGUUAGUAGGGAAUUAGGCAACAAGUAAUUGUAGGGAAUUAGGCUUCAUAGUUGUUUAACUAUGUUUACCAUUCAUCACGUAAUAAAUCAAAUUCAACCAUAGAAAUAAAUGUUUUACUAAAAGAAAAUAAGGGCACAGUAAUUUUGCACUCAGUUAGAAGAUGGGAACGACAACAACAAAUGAUCGUAAAUAACAGCUGUUUAGAAGAGAGAAUAAGAACAAAAAAGGGUUUUAGCUGAGAAAAAACUCUUCGUCGUUUCAGUGGUACUUAAAUAUCAUAGCUAAACUUGAUAUUAAAUGUUAUAUCAAAUUAAUCAUUUGUCGAUGUCAUGAUGUUCAAUUUUAACGACUGCCAUUACAGCAGCGGUUCAUGUCGUUGAAAAUUGAACGACUGCCAACUUCAAGGUUAAGAACCAUCAUGAUUUUAUUCCAUAAGAACAAGAUUCACCCAUGUUUACAUCUUUAUUUUUAUAUAAUUGGGAGAUGUCUCAUUUAAAAAAUAUAAUUAAGACGCUUUAUUAAAAAAAAAAUGUUUUAUGGCUUAUUUUUAAACAUAUCUCAAAUUGUAUUUUUAUGAUUUGCAUUAAACUAGAAUAAAAUGAUUUGUAUUCCCUUUUUUAUGUUGGAUGUCUCCUUGCGUGUAUAUAUUUUUGUUAUGUGGUACCGUAAUUUUAAUUUUGUGUUCAGUUUUUAACAAUUUUGACAACCAAUUUGUGAACGGGACAAUAUUCCUGGAACUAGUCUCCCCAGUAAAAGAAAUUUAAUUUAUAACUGUAAAGGAAUGAGACAUCUUCCUUAACUCUAUGAGAAAAAAUAAACCUGUAAAUGCGUUUUGAGAUUUAACUGUGUUCUUAUGGAGUAAAACUCAAGACAACUGGUGAGCUGCUCUUCUGCAAAUGUCUCAUGAAUUUUAUAAUGUCCCUAUAGUCUGUAUAAUCAAUAGUACCAUUUCUUGUGAUUUAUUUAUGUGAGUAAGAUAUUUGUAUGUAUUUAAUACAUUACAAACUUUUCAACUUAGUUUUUCAGCAAUUUUUUGUGUACAAAAAUGAAUGCUAUUAAUUGGUUUCUCUGGAUAUUUGAUUACAUUUUAUGAAAUGUAUGUUUUGACAUUAAAUAUGAGGCACGUCCAGGAAGUAAGUGUACUGGUACUCUCACAGCUGCAGGGAAUACAUUUUUGACAUGUUGGCAAUACUGCCGCGUAGCCUGAAUCCUCCACUUCAAAACGAGACCAAUCCGAAGUUAGAGUGUUGAAAACUCCUGACACAGUAACAUCUCUCGCGAAAAAUGUCGAUUGUAUCUCCCGCCAAGUGUGAAAUCCGCGCCGACAUUGUCUCAAUUGAAGUUUUCUAGCCUGAAAACUUGUCUCAAUUGAAAAAAACAUGCAUCCUUACAAUUCCCCUAAGAGGGGAUAAUUUUCGGCUGGUUUAUAUCUGCUUCAGAGUUAGUGCUUCUUCCAAGGUGAUAUGAUGGAGAUUGUGUCCACCUCAAGGUGGGAAUAAUCUGUCCACAAUUUUGAAAAAAUCUGACAUUAAAAAAUGUAAAUGGUUUAAUAAAUAUUUUGAUUGAUAAGUUGAAUUAAAUACAUUUGACAAUUUUAUUAUUGUUUAGGUACAAUUCGUUUAUUAAUUUUGUGUUAAUUUAGAUGGAAGAAAAUGUAGUGCAGUUAGUUUUAGUUACUUUUAUAACCUCGAUUCAAAUGUUUUACUGUGUUUAUGUUGAUUAAAGUGAUUUGUAUCUGAAUAUGGGA